RNAcentral lists this ribosomal RNA (468 nucleotides) under uncultured bacterium. Its description in RNAcentral is "partial 16S ribosomal RNA". It matches the Rfam family "Bacterial small subunit ribosomal RNA", at positions 28 to 507 of the family's 1533-position model. The record is from RNAcentral.
GACGAACGCUGGCGGCGUGCUUAACACAUGCAAGUCGAACGGAAAGGCCCUGCUUUUGUGGGGUGCUCGAGUGGCGAACGGGUGAGUAACACGUGAGUAACCUGCCCUUGACUUUGGGAUAACUUCAGGAAACUGGGGCUCAUACCGGAUAGGAGCUCCUGCUGCAUGGUGGGGGUUGGAAAGUUUCGGCGGUUGGGGAUGGACUCGCGGCUUAUCAGCUUGUUGGUGGGGUAGUGGCUUACCAAGGCUUUGACGGGUAGCCGGCCUGAGAGGGUUACCGGCCACAUUGGGCCUGAGAGACGGACCAGACUGCUACGGGAGGCAGUAGGGGGGAAUAUUGCAGAAUGGGCGGAAGCCUGAUGCAGCAACGCCGCGUGCGGGAUGAUGGCCUACGGGGUGUAAACCGCUUUCGAAGGUGACGAAGCGUGAGUGACGGUAAUGGGUAAAGAAGCACCGGCUAACUACGUG